UAGAUACUCCCUCCGUUCCGAAUUACUUGUCGCACGUAUGGAUGUAUCUAGAUGUAUUUUAGUUCUAGAUACAUCCAUCUCAGCGACGAGUAAUUUGGAACGGAGGGAGUACGUA
Molecule: non-coding RNA, 115 nt
Organism: Triticum aestivum (bread wheat)
Lineage: Eukaryota; Viridiplantae; Streptophyta; Magnoliopsida; Poales; Poaceae
Source: Rfam